GUAUACAGACUGACGCCUGCCCGGUGCCGGUAAGUUAAGGGAGAGGGUUAGCCGCAAGGUGAAGCUCGCAACCGAAGCUCCGGUAAACGGCGGCCGUAACUAUAACGGUCCUAAGGUAGCGAAGUUCCUUGUCGGGUAAGUUCCGACGCGCAUGAAAGGUACAACGACUUGAGCGCUGUCUUGACAGGGGGCUCGGUGAACUCGAAGCACGGGUGAAGAUUCCCGUGACCCGCGGUGGGACAGAAAGACCCCGUGGAGCUUUACUGUAGCUUGGUGUUGGGUCUCGGCAUCUGUUGUAGAGGAUAGGUGGGAGGCUGUGAAACCUGGGCGCUAGUCCAGGCGGAGCCAACCUUGGAAUACCACCCUGCAGCUGUUGAGGCCCUAACCGAUGGCCGUUAGCAGCGGCUUCGGGACCGCGCUAGGUGGGCAGUUUUGCUGGGGCGGCAGCCUCCCAAAGAGUAACGGAGGCGCACAAAGGUCCCCUCAGGCUGGUUAGCGAUCAGCCGUUGAGUGCAAGGGCAGAAGGGGGCUUAACUGCGAGGCCAACAAGCCGAGCAGAGGCGAAAGCCGGUCCUAGUGACCCACUGGCUUCCAAGUGGGAGGGCCAGUGAUCAUCGGACAAAAGUUACCCCGGGGAUAACAGGCUAGUACCGCCCGAGAGUUCACAUCGACGGCGGUGUUCGGCACCUCGAUGUCGGCUCACCCCAUCCUGGGGCUGUAUCAGGUCCCAAGGGUCGGUCUGUUCGCCCGUUAAAGGGGUUCAUGAGCUGGGUUCAAACCGUCGUGAGACAGGUUGGUCCCUAUCUACCGUGGGCGUAGGAGGCUUGAGAGGGUCCGCUCUCAGUACGAGAGGACCGGAGCGGCUGGGCCGCUGGCGAACCAGUUGUCCCGCCCGGGGCAUCGCUGGGUAACUAAGCCCGGACCGGAUAAGAGCUGAAGGCAUCUAAGCUCGAAGCUGACCUCAAGAUGAGGCCUCCCCAUGUAAGGGCCCUUCGAGACUAGGAGGUUGAUAGGCCGCAGGUGAAAGCCCGGUAACGGGUGGAGCCGAGCGGUACUAAUAGCCCGAUUGUCUUAC
This 1075-nucleotide ribosomal RNA is filed under the name Candidatus Acetothermia bacterium. Its description in RNAcentral is "bacterial LSU rRNA". It matches the Rfam family "Bacterial large subunit ribosomal RNA", at positions 1843 to 2925 of the family's 2925-position model. Lineage: Bacteria; Candidatus Bipolaricaulota. The record is from RNAcentral.